UCGAGUUUGCUUCUGAUUCCACGCAACUUCCCAUCUCUCUCGUUCUUUCCCACGCAGCUGCCGCCGCCGCUAGGGUUGGCUUGCCGCCGAUGACCGCACCACCGGAGACCAUGGGCACUCGGAAAACGGCGGCGAUGAGGAGGGUCGGCCCUUGGCGCAGACUCCCGUCCCCGAUCGAUGGCAGCGUCACAUCCCUCCGUCUCGCGGGGCAGGGCCUCCCGUCCGCGCCACGAUGCCGCCGGCAUGGAGGCCCGGGCUCGGGCAGCCGCCACGGUGUCGGGUACGCCAAGUCGAAGAUCCGACUCACCGAUCCGCAAGUAGCAGCUGGAUUGGGGGUCGUGUCUACCCAGGGGCGCCGUCAUGGGGUGCUGGUGGUGUUGCCAUCGAGGGCGGCGAUGAGGCUCCGCGGCCAGGAUGUCGCCUUCUCCCUCGGCUUCGUCUGCGCCCGAUUCAUUCUCGACCGCCUUGUCUACAAGGUUUGCGGGUUAGUCGGCGUCGUGCCCGUCAAGCCCGCCGCUUGGUACGGGGACGAGGAGGAAGAGGAGGCAAGAGAUUUGUUCGGCUCCAACAACAAGGAGUACGUCAAGACCCGCGUAGCAACUACCUAAUUCUAGGUCGGCCUCUCGUUACUGAAUUAGCCGCUAGAUUCUCCGGGGCCAAGUUAUCUCCUCAAUAUUUGGUGAGCAAAAUUUCUUAGGAGAUUGCUACACAACCCUACCCAGUUUGUGUGUGAUUGGCUGGUUUUGUUGCUCGUGGGGCUCUGGGAGCUGCAGUGAACGUUUUGUCUGUGGCAGAAUUAACCUUCUCGCUUGAGUACAUGAUGAACUCUUCAUGCUGCAGACUUGUGUUUGAAUUAUUGUUCCAAAUUUCAGCAGUGUAUGUCAGGCUAAGUAGAGCAUAAUGUUGGAUUAAAUUCUCUGCUAGCAUCUUCUGGUUCUUGCUUGAUUUUCUAGAGUCAGAGAGACUUUGUUACAAAAGCAUUAAGCAGAACUGCUGAAGAGAGUAGAAGAACAAACCAUGAAACCACAUAUAUAAUUGGGUCGUAUUCGCCUCGAUGGGUCUCAACCUGCCACGCGGAGCGACUCCCGGAUGCUGGAGCUCGACGGCGAGGGAAGCGCCGCCCCUUUUCACGGGCGCCGGUUGCUGGUGCUGGCAGGAGGGACGAGCAGGCGUGCGGCAGCCUCAAGCUUCUCCCAUGUGCCUGGACGCCAGCGGCACAAGGGAUUGAGGAGCAAGGGGCGAUGCCAAGGGCGUGGAGUGGGGGGUUCACAUGCAGAUGCAUAUCAUCAGCAACCACUGAGACCUCGUUCAACCUCAAGAUGCUAGCGUCCUGCCUCCAUUUCAAGUUGUUCGCCACGGUCGCUGCCUCAUGUCAGGUAUUGCGCGCAGGUAAUAUGGUGAGGACACAAAUUUGGGUGUCCAGCUCCUUGCCUGCAUGUGCAAGGAAUUCAGAACAUGCAGUGCAACAGAUGAAGCCAACGCGGACGAUGAUUAACUUCUCCGACCUUAUGGUAGGUUGAAUCUGAAUCACAUUGACAGGAGGAGCUUUGGAAGUUUGUCAGGGCGGAGAGUAGAAGUUUGCCAAAAUCAUGCUGCGCAUUCUUUGCGUGUAUCCAAAAUCAGGUCUUCCAUUUGUCCAACUCAAAGUGCAAGCGCUAUUUCCACAACCAUCUCAAGCCUGCCAAGCUUAUAUGGACUGCCAUGUACAUGAAGCAGCACAAGAACGUACAUGGAUAUUCGUGUUGAGGCUGCAAAGAAGAGGCAUCGUGCCACCAAGAGUCCGUAUGGUCUCGCUGUUCUACGCCUCUGGACGCGCCAUUGACGACCAUACCACCGUCUAUGCAUAGAAUCCAUGUGUCGUGUUUCCUGUUUCUCUAAGACUUUUUAAUUCUGUCGUAUGAUGUGAGGAAAUAUGCCUCUGCUUUAUUAUCUAUAUCAUCGUUCAUGUAACCUCUAAGAAUCCGGUCCUUGAAUGUGUUGCAUUCGCACAACUGUCUUAUUGUAGCUAGAAACUUCUCUGGAUGUGUUGCUUUUGGACAACUGUCUUAUCAUUUGAGUUAGAACUUGCACGUAUCAUA
Molecule: long non-coding RNA, 2078 nt
Organism: Triticum aestivum (bread wheat)
Lineage: Eukaryota; Viridiplantae; Streptophyta; Magnoliopsida; Poales; Poaceae
Exons: 6
Source: RefSeq, a predicted model, not a curated record